UUGCACGCUGGCGGCAUGCUUUACACAUGCCAGUCGAACGGCAGCGCGGGCUUCGGCCUGGCGGCGAGUGGCGAACGGGUGAGUAAUGCAUCGGAACGUGCCCAGUAGUGGGGGAUAGCCCGGCGAAAGCCGGAUUAAUACCGCAUACGACCUGAGGGUGAAAGCGGGGGACCGAAAGGCCUCGCGCUAUUGGAGCGGCCGAUGUCGGAUUAGCUAGUUGGUGGGGUAAAGGCUUACCAAGGCGACGAUCCGUAGCUGGUCUGAGAGGACGACCAGCCACACUGGGACUGAGACACGGCCCAGACUCCUACGGGAGGCAGCAGUGGGGAAUUUUGGACAAUGGGGGCAACCCUGAUCCAGCCAUGCCGCGUGCGGGAAGAAGGCCUUCGGGUUGUAAACCGCUUUUGUUCGGGAAGAAAUCCUCUGGGCUAAUACCCCGGGGGGAUGACGGUACCGGAAGAAUAAGCACCGGCUAACUACGUG
Molecule: ribosomal RNA, 483 nt
Filed under: uncultured bacterium
Lineage: Bacteria
Description: partial 16S ribosomal RNA
Rfam family: Bacterial small subunit ribosomal RNA
Source: RNAcentral